UCAGUACCUGAACAUCACGAGGUACUCCAUGCCAGAGAGGAUGCUGAGCUUUUUACAUGCCGUGAAUCUUCAAAAACAGCAUCUUUCUCAGCUACUUCCUGUUCUGCACUAAGUCUCCGUAUGGCCCUAAGAUGCUGGAAAUUAUUUUUGAAGGGUCAUAAAGGCCCCAAAAAAGCAGCAAGAGGGUAAAUUGACAAUAUUACAGGAAAAUGGACACCGGCUACAGUACCCAAAUACCCAAGGUCAGAUUCACAGCAUCCUGGGAGAUAAGCAGGAGGGUACAAGCACUCCCAUCAUACAGAGAAAGAAGCUGAGACUCGGAGAAGCCAUCAGACUUCUUCAGGGUCACAGAGCUGGAUGCAGAAAUCUCCGCAAGGAAAGAACCCACACUUUUCUGUCUUCUAAAAUAAAUAUU
Fukomys damarensis (Damara mole-rat) is the source of this 415-nucleotide long non-coding RNA. RefSeq lists it as uncharacterized. NCBI's taxonomy places the organism in Eukaryota, Metazoa, Chordata, Mammalia, Rodentia, Bathyergidae. The transcript has 3 exons. The record is from RefSeq and is a predicted model, not a curated record.